GUGUCAGCCGCCGCGGUAAUACCAGCUCCGCGAGUGGUCGGGGUGAUUACUGGGCCUAAAGCGCCUGUAGCCGGCCCACCAAGUCGCCCCUUAAAGUCCCCGGCUCAACCGGGGAACUGGGGGCGAUACUGGUGGGCUAGGGGGCGGGAGAGGCGGGGGGUACUCCCGGAGUAGGGGCGAAAUCCUUAGAUACCGGGAGGACCACCAGUGGCGGAAGCGCCCCGCUAGAACGCGCCCGACGGUGAGAGGCGAAAGCCGGGGCAGCAAACGGGAUUAGAUACCCCGGUAGUCC
RNAcentral lists this ribosomal RNA (292 nucleotides) under uncultured prokaryote. RNAcentral describes it as "partial 16S ribosomal RNA". It matches the Rfam family "Archaeal small subunit ribosomal RNA", at positions 455 to 747 of the family's 1478-position model. The record is from RNAcentral.